Molecule: ribosomal RNA, 255 nt
Filed under: uncultured bacterium
Lineage: Bacteria
Description: partial 16S ribosomal RNA
Rfam family: Bacterial small subunit ribosomal RNA
Source: RNAcentral
UACGUAGGGUGCAAGCGUUAUCCGGAAUUAUUGGGCGUAAAGAGCUCGUAGGCGGUUUGUCGCGUCUGCUGUGAAAACUGGGGGCUCAACCCCCAGCCUGCAGUGGGUACGGGGCAGACUAGAGUGCGGUAGGGGAGAUUGGAAUUCCUGGUGUAGCGGUGGAAUGCGCAGAUAUCAGGAGGAACACCGGUGGCGAAGGCGGGUCUCUGGGCCGAUACUGACGCUGGAGGAGCGAAAGCGUGGGGAGCAAACAGG